This 301-nucleotide ribosomal RNA is filed under the name uncultured bacterium. RNAcentral describes it as "partial 16S ribosomal RNA". It matches the Rfam family "Bacterial small subunit ribosomal RNA", at positions 509 to 809 of the family's 1533-position model. The record is from RNAcentral.
CAGUCGCCGCGGGAAUACGUAGGUGGCAAGCGUUAAUCGGAAUUACUGGGCGUAAAGCGUGCGCAGGCGGUUCGUUAAGACAGAUGUGAAAUCCCCGGGCUUAGCCUGGGAACUGCAUUUGUGACUGGCGGGCUAGAGUAUGGCAGAGGGGGGUAGAAUUCCACGUGUAGCAGUGAAAUGCGUAGAGAUGUGGAGGAACACCGAUGGCGAAGGCAGCCCCCUGGGCCAAUACUGACGCUCACGCACGAAAGCGUGGGGAGCAAACAGGAUUAGAUACCCGCGUAGUCCCUGUCUCUUAUAU